RNAcentral lists this long non-coding RNA (2174 nucleotides) under Homo sapiens (human). Its description in RNAcentral is "HSALNT0106497". Lineage: Eukaryota; Metazoa; Chordata; Mammalia; Primates; Hominidae. The record is from RNAcentral.
CCGCCGCCGCCGCCGCGCGCUCUACCGGCCCGCGAGUCCUCCGCGACAUCCGGGCCAGCGUCUGCACCCAGCCACGUGUCCUGCCCCUGAAACACUCUGUCUUCCUGCUUUGAGGACAGCUGAAGUCUUGCCACUUCUUCUGGAUGCUCUGACCAUCAGUAAGCCACCUCAGUCUCACCCUCCGCAGAAUGCAGGCCCACUCCGUUGCUGAAGGGCCUCCUCCUUGGGCCAGGGCGCCUGCUUCUGCCAGUGGCAUCAUCACCCCACUCCUCAGCCGCCAGUCAUCAGAGACACGGUCUGACUUUGUUACCCCGGCUGGAGUGCAGUGGUGCAAUCAUGGCUCACUGCAGCCUUAACCUCCUGGGCUCAAGUGAUCCUCUCGCCAAGGCUAGGAUAAGUAGCUAGGACUACAGAUGCGCCCCAUCACGCCCAGCUAAUUUUACAACUUCUGUAGAGAUGGAGUGUUGCUGGGUUGCCCAGGCUGGUCUUGAAUUCCUGGGCUCAAGCGAUCCUCCUGUGUCCGGAAUUGGUGGGUUCUUGGUCUCACUGACUUCAAGAAUGAAGCCGCGGACCCUCGCGAGUCUGUAUCCACCAGCUACUCUUCCAGAUUCAUGAGGCAAGGCCUGCCUGCUCACCUGGCUGGCCCCAAGCACCUCUUCAACCUGUUGCCACCGUCCUGCCUUGCUGCCCUUCUCAGCUCAUCCAGCAGGGUCUCCAAGUCGUGGAAACAGAAGCACAUAUACACACAUGCUCAUAUGUACAUGCCCACAGUCACAUAAGCACACCGAGAAACACCAUCGCAGACAUGUUCUCACAAGCACAUGUGCAUAACACUCACUACCCCUCACGCGUAUACACAUUAAUACACACACUCAUGCACACUCAGUCUUACACACACAGACACACAGCCAUAAUCACUGUUGUUGGUUGAAUUGUGCCCCCCCAUCCCCACCAAAAAGAUAAGUUGGAGUCCUAACCCCCAGUACCUGGGGAUGUGACCGUAGUUGGAAAUAGGGUGUUUGUAGAUGUAAUCAAAUUAAGAUGAGAUCUUACUGGAUUAGAGUGGGCCUUAAAUCCAGUGACUGGUGUCCUUAUAAGGAGAAAAAGAUUUGAAAACAGAGACAUGGAGACACAGAGCAGAAGGCCAUGUGAUGAUGGAGUCAGAGAUUGGAGUGAUGCAGCUAUGAGCCGAGAAAUACCAAGGUGCUGGCAGCCCCCAGAAGCAAGGAGAGAGGCAAGGAACAAUCUCCAUCAGAGCCUCUGGAAGAAACAGACUCUGCCAACACCUUGAUUUCAGACUUUUGGCCUCCUUCACUGUGCGAGAAUACGUUUCUGUUGUUUUAAACUACUGAGUCACCAAGUCUGUGGUACUGUGUUAUGGCAGCCCCGGCAACAAAUCCAAUCACACACACACACACACACACACACACACACACACACACACACACACACACAGCUGGCUCCAGGCUCAGUGAUGAGCUCAGAGGAGUUCCCCUUGGGAGCUGCUCUUUCUCUGUCUUCCUUCCUUAGUGAUUGGUCCAGUGGAUCCACAAAAGCUCAUGGCCCAGAGCAGGAGCCCAGUCAUUUUUAAUUCCUCUUCCCUGGAGUUCUUAACCAUGCGUUGCCCUCAAAAUCUGCUCUCAAGAUUUGGGUUGCCAUAUUUAGGAGCACCAGAAAACAUACAGGAAUGCUGUGUCUGCUUGCAUCAUAUUAAUUAAAAACUGGAAAUAACCUAAAUGUCCCAGAAUAGGUACAUAAACUGUGGCAUAUCCACUUAAUGGAAUACUACUCAGCAAUACAAAAGGAAAACCUAGUGUUACUUGAGCAACAUGGAUGAACUUCACAGACAUAAUAUUGCACAGCACGAGGCAGACACAAAAGUGUGCAUAUGCUAUGAUUCCAUUUACAUGAGAUUCAAGAACAGGCAAAGCAGAUCUAUGGGGAUAGAAGUCAGAAUAGUGGUUACCUCUGGAAGGUGGAAUUGACUGGGAGGGGCUUCAGGGAACCUCCUGGGGUGCUGAAAACAUUCUGUGCUUGCACCGGGUGGUGGUUAUGUGGGCAUUACAUAAAAUUCACCAAGCUGCACCCUUAAUGAUUUGUACAAUUUGAUGCACAAAUCUAACAUCUCAAGAAGAAUAAAUUUUACAAAGUACCUAAGAAGCAAAUGACCAGAA